CGAGAGUUUGUAACACCCGAAGUCGGUAGGGUAACCAUUUAUGGAGCCAGCCGCCGAAGGUGGGACAGAUAAUUGGGGUGAAGUCGUAACAAGGUAGCCGUAUCGGAAGGUGCGGCUGGAUCACCUCCUUUCUAAGGAA
This 139-nucleotide ribosomal RNA is filed under the name Listeria cornellensis FSL F6-0969. RNAcentral describes it as "partial 16S ribosomal RNA". It matches the Rfam family "Bacterial small subunit ribosomal RNA", at positions 1405 to 1533 of the family's 1533-position model. Lineage: Bacteria; Bacillati; Bacillota; Bacilli; Caryophanales; Listeriaceae. The record is from RNAcentral.